UGCUGGAGGUAUCAGAAGUGCGAAUGCUGACAUAAGUAACGAUAAAGCGGGUGAAAAGCCCGCUCGCCGGAAGACCAAGGGUUCCUGUCCAACGUUAAUCGGGGCAGGGUGAGUCGACCCCUAAGGCGAGGCCGAAAGGCGUAGUCGAUGGGAAACAGGUUAAUAUUCCUGUACUUGGUGUUACUGCGAAGGGGGGACGGAGAAGGCUAUGUUAGCCGGGCGACGGUUGUCCCGGUUUAAGCAUGUAGGCUGGUUAUCCAGGCAAAUCCGGAUAAUCAAGGCUGAGGUGUGAUGACGAGGCACUACGGUGCUGAAGUAACAAAUGCCCUGCUUCCAGGAAAAGCCUCUAAGCAUCAGGUAACAUCAAAUCGUACCC
This 376-nucleotide ribosomal RNA is filed under the name Klebsiella pneumoniae. RNAcentral's name for it is "partial 23S ribosomal RNA". It matches the Rfam family "Bacterial large subunit ribosomal RNA", at positions 1271 to 1649 of the family's 2925-position model. Lineage: Bacteria; Pseudomonadati; Pseudomonadota; Gammaproteobacteria; Enterobacterales; Enterobacteriaceae. The record is from RNAcentral.